UCUCCGUAGGUGAACCUGCGGAGGGAUCAUUACUGAGUUCUGGGUCUAACCGACCCGACCUCCAACCCUUUGUUAUCCAACUCUGUUGCCUCGGGGGCGACCCGGCCUUCGGGCGUCGGGGCCCCCGGUGGACCACCCAACCCUGCAUCGUUGCGUCUGAGUCGAAAUAUAAAUCAAUCAAAACUUUCAACAACGGAUCUCUUGGUUCUGGCAUCGAUGAAGAACGCAGC
RNAcentral lists this unclassified non-coding RNA (230 nucleotides) under uncultured fungus. RNAcentral's name for it is "sequence contains ITS1, 5.8S rRNA gene". The stretch from base 182 to 230 matches the Rfam family "5.8S ribosomal RNA", at positions 1 to 49 of the family's 154-position model. Lineage: Eukaryota; Fungi. The record is from RNAcentral.